Molecule: ribosomal RNA, 425 nt
Filed under: uncultured bacterium
Lineage: Bacteria
Description: bacterial SSU rRNA
Rfam family: Bacterial small subunit ribosomal RNA
Source: RNAcentral
AACGCGAAGAACCUUACCCAGGCUUGACAUCCUGUGAAGGUAUCCGAAAGGAUACUGUGCCUUCGGGAAUACAGUGACAGGUGAUGCAUGGCCGUCGUCAGCUCGUGUCGUGAGAUGUUUGGUUAAGUCCAUCAACGAGCGCAACCCUUGUAGUUAGUUGUAUUUUUCUAACUAGACUGCCCUGGUAACAGGGAGGAAGGAGGGGAUGAUGUCAGGUCAGUAUUUCCCUUACGUCUGGGGCUACAAACACGCUACAAUGGCCGGUACAAAGGGCUGCCAAGUCGCGAGACGGAGCAAACCCCAUCAAAGCCGGUCUCAGUUCGGAUUGCAGGCUGAAACUCGCCUGCAUGAAGCUGGAAUCGCUAGUAACGGUAGGUCAGCACACUACCGUGAAUACGUUCCCGGGCCUUGUACACACCGACAUA